CCCACCACACAGAAGAAUCUCUUUCUCACUCACUCUCUCUUUCUUUCUCAUCAUCAAAUCAAAUAUUUCCAACUCUCAUCAACUCUGUUCUCUCCUCCCUCCACCUCUGUCCUUGUGUCCCCAUUCCAAAAACUCACAUCAUAACCCUCCUCUGCCCCUGCAAUUUAUUCAACACCUUCUGACAAACCUCUUAAUUUUCUCUUGCAGUUCUUCCACUGAGUGAUGGGUAUGAUCUCUCCUCACUUCCACAACUCCCACAUUAUAGUUCUCCUUAUCACCUGCUUCUUCCGCCAUAAAUUCUAGAUCAAAACAAACAACCCCACACAGUCACACCCCUGAAACCUGAUCCACCUUUUAUGGGGUAUGCUAUGAUUGUGAAUAUGACCUUUUAAUCUAAUACCUCCACCUUUGCAACAAGGCUCCACACAAAGUACUACUACUCCAAAAAGUUCCCAUAAUUCCCCUCUCUAGUGAAGUUACUAUGGCUGGUAGUAAGCUUUAUGGGGGUUCCAACAUGGCCCUUCUGCUCCAAAAUGAAAGGCUUCCUUGCUCCUCUGAAGUUCUUGACUCUCUCUGGGGUCACACCUCUAACCCUGCUUCUUUCCAAGGGUCGAAAUCGGUGGUUGAUUUUGAGAAUGUUGGUGGCAGCAGGGUCACUGACAGGUCCUUCUUUCAACAGCUUGACAAGGAAGAGAACUGUGAUGAUGAUUAUGAUGCUUGCUUCCAUCAACCAGGGAAGAAGAGAAGGCUCUCUAGUGAACAAGUUCAGUUCCUUGAAAGGAGCUUUGAGGUGGAAAACAAGCUUGAACCUGAAAGGAAGGUUCAGCUUGCAAAAGAGCUUGGGUUGCAGCCAAGACAAGUGGCUAUAUGGUUCCAAAACCGAAGGGCAAGGUACAAGACCAAGCAGUUAGAAAAGGACUAUGGCACAUUGAAAGCUAGCUUUGACAGACUCAAAGGUGACUAUGAUAAUCUUGCUCAAGAGAAUGACAAGUUAAAAGAAGAGGUGAAUUCUCUGAAGAACAAAUUGAUUCCCAGAGAUAAAGAGAAAGAGAAUUCAGAUGACAAGUCAUCCCCUGAUGCUGCAGAACCUAUGGAUUUAAUCUCAAAUGCAAAUUCUGAAAAUGGGUCCAAAGUGCCACUCCCUAAUAUGGUAACAUGCUGCAAGCAAGAAGAUGCCAAUUCAGCUAAAAGUGAUGUGCUUGAUUCGGAUAGCCCACAUUGCACUGAUGGGAACCACUUCAUGGAGCCUGCUGAUUCCUCUCAUGCUUUCGAACCAGACCACUCAGAUUUCUCACAGGAUGAAGAGGAUAACCUCGGUGAAAACCUCUUGAACCUGCCUUGCUUGCCAAAGGUUGAAGAUGUCUGUUAUGAUGACCUGCCUGAUAACUCUUGUAAUUUUGGCUUCCCGGUUGAAGAUCAAACCUUCUGUUUCUGGCCUUACUGAAUCCCUACGCUCCCAGGGUUAUAAAUUGCAGUCCGCAACCGCAAUUGUGGCGGCAGCAUAAAGCGUUUUGGACUCUCAACAUUAGCAUCAUAGCCACAAUUGCAGCAGCAUCAACUCCUACUUAUCAGUAAUUCCGUGACCGUAAUUUAAAACCCUGCUACUUUCACAAUGUUUAGAGAAAGUUCCUAGUUGUAACUCUGUACUAGAGGAAAUAAAAACAGUAUUACUUCUACUAAGGAAUAAAAUCAAACAGGUACAAGGCAUUAUGCAA
RNA transcript from Lotus japonicus, 1715 nucleotides. It is a transcript of the gene named homeobox-leucine zipper protein HAT5-like, with no coding region annotated. The record is from RefSeq and is a predicted model, not a curated record. NCBI's taxonomy places the organism in Eukaryota, Viridiplantae, Streptophyta, Magnoliopsida, Fabales, Fabaceae. The transcript has 3 exons.